UCAAGCUACAAAGAGCGCAAGGGGAAUGCCUUGGCACUGGGAGCCGACGAAGGACGUAGCGAUCUACGAUAAGCCACGGUGAGCCGAAAGCAGGCAUCGACCCGUGGAUUUCCGAAUGGGGCAACCUGGCUGAAUAGAACUCAGUCAACAUACGGUGAAUAAAAUAGUCGUAUGUAGGGAACCGCCUGAACUGAAACAUCUAAGUAGGGCGAGGAAAAGAAAUCAACCGAGAUUCCGCAAGUAGUGGCGAGCGAACGCGGAAGAGGCCAAACCGAGAGUAGUAAUACUUUCGGGGUUCGGACAGAAAACGGUAUUGUAAAGGUUUAGUGGAAUGGAAUGGGAAGUCCAACCGAAGAAGGUGAGAGUCCUGUACACGAAAAGCCUGAACAGCCAUCUGUAUCCAGAGUACCGCCGGACACGUGAAACCCGGUGGGAAUAUGGGGGGACCAUCCUCCAAGCCUAAAUACUACCCAGUGACCGAUAGCGUAUAGUACUGUGAAGGAAAGGUGAAAAGAACCCCGGGAGGGGAGUGAAAAGAACCUGAAACCUUGUGCUUACAAGCACACAAAGCACGUCAACGUGUGAUGUGGUACCUUUUGUAGAAUGGUCCGGCGAGUGAAUGUAACUGGCGAGGUUAAGUUCUUAAGGAACGGAGCCGAAGCGAAAGCGAGUCUGAAUAGGGCGUCUUAGUCAGUUGUAUUCGACCCGAAACCGGGUGACCUAUCCAUGUCCAGGAUGAAGUUAAGGUAAAACUUGAUGGAGGUCCGAACCCACGGUCGUUGAAAUGCCCGGGGAUGAGAUGUGGAUAGCGGAGAAAUUCCAAUCGAACCCGGAUAUAGCUGGUUCUCUCCGAAAUAGCUUUAGGGCUAGCCUCGACUGAACAUUACCGGAGGUAGAGCACUGAAUGGGCUAGGGGCCGAGAGGUUACUGAACCCUAUCAAACUUCAAAUGCCGGAAAAUGAUAGUCGGGAGUCAGACUGCGUGAGAUAAGUUUCGUAGUCGAAAGGGAAACAGCCCAGACCCACAGCUAAGGUCCCAAAGUACGGUUAAGUGGAAAAGGAUGUGGGGUUGCACAGACAACCAGGAUGUUGGCUUAGAAGCAGCCACUCAUUAAAAGAGUGCGUAAUAGCUCACUGGUCGAGUGACUCUGCGCCGAAAAUUUAACGGGGCUAAAUCGUACACCGAAGCUUGGGAUGUAUCUAUGAUACAUGGUAGGAGAGCGUUGAAUGCGGGGUGAAGUCAGAGCGAAAGCGCUGGUGGACUGCAUUGAAGUGAGAAUGCCGGAAUGAGUAGCGAGAUUUAUGUGAGAAUCAUAAAGGCCGAAAGACUAAGGUUUCAGAAGGAAGGUUCGUCCGCUUCUGGUUAGCCGGGAGCUAAGGUGAGGCCGAAAGGCGUAGCCGAUGCACAUACGGUGGAGAUUCCGUAGCCGUCGAAAUAUUUAAGCAAAGGGACACUUAUGAAGGACAUGACCCGGGCGAUGGUAGCCCCGGGCGUAAGGGACCGAAAACAAGUAGGGAAGCAUGUUUGGAUUAAGGCGAGAAAAGCUUUGUGUAUAUAUGAGACGUCCGUACCGCAAACCGACACAGGUAGUCAGGAAGAGGAUUCUAAGGCCAACGGGAGAAGGGUAGUUAAGGAACUCGGCAAAUUGACCCCGUAACUUCGGGAUAAGGGGCGGUGCGCAAGCACCCGCAGUGAAUAGGUCCAGGCGACUGUUUAUCAAAAACACAGCUCUCUGCUAAAUCGAAAGAUGACGUAUAGGGGGUGACACCUGCCCGGUGCUGGAAGGUUAAGAGGAGGAGUGCAAGCUCCGAAUUGAAGCCCCAGUAAACGGCGGCCGUAACUAUAACGGUCCUAAGGUAGCGAAAUUCCUUGUCGGGU
Molecule: ribosomal RNA, 1878 nt
Filed under: human gut metagenome
Description: bacterial LSU rRNA
Rfam family: Bacterial large subunit ribosomal RNA
Source: RNAcentral